This 48-nucleotide non-coding RNA is filed under the name Schistosoma mansoni. The record is from RNAcentral. Lineage: Eukaryota; Metazoa; Platyhelminthes; Trematoda; Strigeidida; Schistosomatidae.
AUCCAACUGAUGAGUCCCAAAUAGGACUAAACACACAUCAAAUUGGAU